GGAGACUCAGCAUUGCUACAGCUUGUUGCUAUUUAAGUGUGCUGUAGCAAAAGGAUUUAAUCAGGUGUGUCCUUAAAUAUUGCCUAUUAGUGUUUCCUCUUAUAUUAAGAUCUGAAUGUUUUCUAAGAAUUACAAUUUCCCAGCAGUUACGCAAAUGAGGUUAAAUCAUCACUUGCAACUGUGUAUAAAAAGCUCCGCUGUCAGUACUGCAUUACCACAAUCAUCCACAUCUCUGAGACAGUCUGCUGAAGUUGUGAAGACCUGACGGUAACAUUUCUCAUCAAUCUCUUAUUGCUUCUGUGUUUUCAGUGUAAUGUUGGUGGAAUGGUGAUUUUGCAGAUGGUUUUGACCACAUCUCAUCAGAAUUAUUGUUAACAGGUGAAAUAACUGAAACCAUGAUCAAGGUUGUGUUUCUGCUUGGAUGCCUGCUGAGCCUUGCUCUGGCAAAUCCUGUAAGUGUAAUAUGACUGUAGACUGUACUAGUGAUGUCAUCUGUAAUAUAUGAAUAUAUCUUGCACUGUGUGUGUAACUGUGUAACCAGAGGCUGUAUCAGUGCUCCUAUCUUGUCAUAUCCAAACAACACAUUUGCAUGUUUGUUUUUAAACAGAAUGACUCAGCACACGAGCGCGAUGCACGUUCUUCAUCUGGGGAGGGGAGUUUUGGGACCCUAAAUCGUCUUACCCUGCUACUACCUCUUCUACAGAAUCCAACACUUCUGCAGAAUUCAACGCUCCUUGCUUUGCUUCUUGCCGCUCUACGAUAAGCUGCUCCUUAACCAACAGCUACAACUGCCACAAAGGAUGAAUUGAAAACGAACAAACAAUGAAUAAAAACUUUUGUUAAAUUGCACUGGGAUUUUUUUAUUUAUUUACAGGAUUAUUGAAAAUCCCCGCUUAAUUUUGAGUGACUCAGUCUUACAAAGAGUUAGCAAAAAGAUUACUCUAGACAAUAUAAACGAAAUCUCCUCGUUCAUUGCAGUUUCUCCCAAAUCAACCAGAUCAUUCACCCGAGUAUGCAUUAUCAUAGAAUAUGUAGCUGUGGCAGGGGUGUUGUCUCUGGCCUGCUGAAGGGGAGGGGGAGCAAAGUGAGCUGUCAGGGUGGUGGCGAGGUAUGCUGGAAGGCAGGUGCAUGUGCUCAGGCUAAUGAUCAUUUCCCCUGUCUGUGUAUUUAGUGACGCCAGAGUCAGAGGAGUGAGAGGCUGUUGUUGCAGCAGCUAAUGGGUGCCUGUUUCCUGAGUACCCAGUACCAAAACAACAGAAUCAGCUGCUGAGUGUUAAAUAAAGCCUCACUUGAGCACAGAAAGACUGCGUGUUGGGUCUGUUCUUCACAG
Molecule: long non-coding RNA, 1330 nt
Filed under: Oreochromis niloticus (Nile tilapia)
Lineage: Eukaryota; Metazoa; Chordata; Actinopteri; Cichliformes; Cichlidae
Description: lncRNA (ENSONIG00000033944.1)
Source: RNAcentral